This 254-nucleotide ribosomal RNA is filed under the name uncultured bacterium. Its description in RNAcentral is "partial 16S ribosomal RNA". It matches the Rfam family "Bacterial small subunit ribosomal RNA", at positions 524 to 776 of the family's 1533-position model. The record is from RNAcentral.
UACGUAGGGUGCAAGCGUUGCCCGGAUUUACUGGGCGUAAAGGGCGCGUAGGUGGCCACCGCAAGUCGACUGUGAAAUCUCCGGGCUUAACCCGGAAAGGUCAGCCGAUACUGCGGGGCUAGAGUGCAGAAGGGGCAACUGGAAUUCUCGGUGUAGCGGUGAAAUGCGUAGAUAUCGAGAGGAACACCUGCGGCGAAGGCGGGUUGCUGGGCUGACACUGACGCUGAGGCGCGAAAGCUAGGGGAGCGAACGGG